Molecule: ribosomal RNA, 468 nt
Filed under: uncultured bacterium
Lineage: Bacteria
Description: partial 16S ribosomal RNA
Rfam family: Bacterial small subunit ribosomal RNA
Source: RNAcentral
GACGAACGCUGGCGGCGUGCUUAACACAUGCAAGUCGAACGGAAAGGCCCUGCUUUUGUGGGGUGCUCGAGUGGCGAACGGGUGAGUAACACGUGAGUAACCUGCCCUUGACUUUGGGAUAACUUCAGGAAACUGGGGCUAAUACCGGAUAGGAGCUCCUGCUGCAUGGUGGGGGUUGGAAAGUUUCGGCGGUUGGGGAUGGACUCGCGGCUUAUCAGCUUGUUGGUGGGGUAGUGGCUUACCAAGGCUUUGACGGGUAGCCGGCCUGAGAGGGUGACCGGCCACAUUGGGACUGAGAUACGGCCCAGACUCCUACGGGAGGAAGCAGUGGGGAAUAUUGCACAAUGGGCGGAAGCCUGAUGCAGCAACGCCGCGUGCGGGAUGACGGCCGUCGGGUUGUAAACCGCUUUCGCCUGUGACGAAGCGUGAGUGACGGUAAUGGGUAAAGAAGCACCGGCUAACUACGUG